Long non-coding RNA from Mobula hypostoma (lesser devil ray), 3781 nucleotides. RefSeq lists it as uncharacterized. The record is from RefSeq and is a predicted model, not a curated record. Lineage: Eukaryota; Metazoa; Chordata; Chondrichthyes; Myliobatiformes; Myliobatidae. The transcript is spliced from 4 exons.
CUCAGUGCAGGCUGUACCUCUGAACCAACAUGAAGCUACUGCUCGGAGACCUGUGCCUCUGCUUGGUUGUGGCUCUCUCGCUCUUCUUCCCUGGGAGCAGAGCAAGUCAUCACUGGACAUUUCGGGUGCCUAGGAGCUCGGCCUGCUGUAAAUGAGCAAUAAGAGAAAGGGAAUUGUGAUGUUGAGAGAGGGAAGAGGUUGUACGGGAUCAACACAGAACAACAAAAUUAUCCUGAGAGCAUAAAUUCAAAGGGCUGAAGGACUGGUCUGCUACGGCUAACUAGCUUUACUCUCCAGGGGCCAUGCACAAUCCUGAUUUGAUGGAGACGGAUAUGAGAAGCAUGGAGGAACAUCUGGAGAAACUUCUGAAAUGCCUGUUUUGCUGCUGCUGCUACCGUGCGACCUCCAGAGGGGAAGGCCCCAAAUCCUCAGUUUUGCCUGUUGCUGGCAGCCAGGGCUGGGGUCGAAGCGCUUGGUAGAGAUGACGCUCGGUGCUCGGUGUCGGAGGGCUGUCAGAGGCUCGAAGUUUUCGGAUGGAUUGAGAGUCGGACUGUGGUCGGGUGCUUCCAGGGUGCUGCAUUGGCAAGUUUGCAGCACUGGAAGCUCAUGGCAGGGAGAGUUUUUCUUCCUUCUACCGUCUGCAUGAGAUGAUGGGACUUUCGAGAGACUUUCAGACUUUUUUUUAUCAUGCCCAUGGUCUGUUCUAUCAAAUUACGGUAUUGUUUGCACUGUUGUAACUAUAUGUUAUAAUUAUGUGGUUUUUGUCAGUUUUUCAGUCUUGGUCUGUCUUGUGUUUCUGUGAUAUCACACUGGAGGAACACUGUAUCAUUUCUUAAUGCAUGCAUUACUAAAUGACAAUAAAAGAGGACUGCGUGUCCUCAUAAUCUAAUCUAAUCUAAAUCUCCUCUGCACCCUUUCUAUGGUUUCCACAUCCUUCCUAUAGUGAAGCGACCAGAACUGAGCACAGUACUGCAAAUGGGUCCUAUAUAGCUGCAACAUUACCUCUCAGCUCCUAAACUUAGUCCCACAAUUGAUAAAGGCCAAUGCACCAUCUGCUUUCUUAACCACAGGGUCAACCUGUGCAGCAGCUUUGAGUGCCCUAUGGACUCUGACCCCGAGAUCCCUCUGAUAGAGUAAAUGCAAGCAGGCUUUUUUCCAUGGAGGUUGGGUGGGACAACUAUCCAAGGCAUCUGUUAGUUAUCCAUGGCUGGCUCUCCACACCCUUACUGUCCUUGCUUUUAACUGGAAUAUACUUUUGUUGAGCACCGUGAAGAAUCUCUUUGAAAGUCUCCCACUGUUCCUCAACUGUCCCACCAUCUAGCCUGUAUUUCCAGUUUAUCCUAACCAACUCUUCUCUCCUCCCUUUGUAGCCUCCCUUGUUUAGGCAUAAUACACAGGUUUUAGAUCGAACUAUUGCACCUUCUAUUUGUAUGAGAAACUUAAUCAUGCUGUGAUCACCCUUUCCAAGAGGAUCCCCAGCUGCAAGAUCACUAAUUUUACCUGUAUUAUUGCACAGGAUCAGAUCUAAGAUAACACGUUCCCUUGUAGGUUCAGUAACAUGCUGUUCAAGAAAGCCAUCAUGGACGCAUUCUAUGAAAUCUUCCUCAAAACUGCCUUGACCAACUUGAUUCACCCAAUCUGUGCAAGUUAAAGUCCCCCAUGAUAACUGCUGUUCCAUUCUCAUAUGCCUCAGAUUUUUCUCUGUUUAUUGCCUGUGUCACUGUAAUGUUACUAUUCGGUGGCUGAUAGACAACUCACACUGGUGAUUUUUUUCCCUUUACUAUUCCGAAUCUCUACCUAGAUGGAUUCAACAUUCUGCUCCUUAGAUCUUAUAUUGUCUCUCACUAUCGCCCUGAUCUCAUCCUUAAUUCCAAUUUGUCUAAGUCCUGCUACAAUCACAUUGCUUCCUCAGCACUACCUACCCCUCCACUUAUCUUUGUAUCAUCUGCAGACUUUGCCACAAAACCAUCAAUUCCAUUAUCUAAAUCAGUGACAGACAAUGUGAAGAGUAGUGGUCCCACUACUGACCCCUGAGGAACACCACUAGUCACUGGCAGCCAACCAGAAAAGGUCCCCUUUAUUCCCACUCACUGCCUCCUGCACGUCACCCAUUUCUCUAUCCAUGACAGUAUCUUUCCUGUAACGCCAUAGGAAUUUAUCUUGUUAAGCGGCUUCAUGUGUGGCUCCUUAUGUGUGGAUACCAGUAAAUGAUAUCCACUGCCUCUCCUUUGUCCUCCCUGCUUUUUACUUCCUCAAAGAACUCUAACAGAUUUGUCAGACAAGAUUUCCUUUGACGGAAACCAUGCUGACUUUGACUUAUUUUAUCAUUAGUCUCCAAGUCCCCUGAAACCUCAUCCUUAUUAUAGAGUCCAACACUUUCCCAACCACUGAGGUGAUGCUAACUGGCCUACAAUUUCCUUUUUUUUCACUUUCCUCCCUUCUUAAAGAGUGGAGUGACAUUUGCAAUCUUCCAGUCCUCUGGGACCAUGCCAGAAUCAAGUGAUUCUUGAAAGAUCAUGACCAAUACAUCCGUUAUCUCUUCAGCAACUUCUCUCAUGACUCUGAGUUAUAGUCCACCUAGUCCAGAUGACUUAUCCACCUUAAGACCUUUAAUUUUGCCUUGCAGUUUUUCCUCUGUAAUAGCAAUGGCACUUACUUCUGCUGUAAGACACUCACAGACUCCUGGCACUCUGCUGCUGUCUUCCAGAAUGAAGACUGAUGCCAAGUACCCAUUAAGUUCAUCUGCCAUUUCAUCGUCCCCAUUACUACCUCACCAGCAUCACUUUCCAGUGACCCUCACCUCCCUUUUACUCUUUAUAUAACUGAAAAAUCAACAGGGAAGUAAACUGCUUGAGCAGGAGGGAAGAUCGCGACGGAAAACUAUCAGGAUUUGUAAUGUUCCUGAAGGAGCGGAGGGAUUGUUGAUGAUGGAGUUUGUAGACAAGUUGCUGAGGGAAGCGCUGGAGGUUCAUAGUGAUAGUCAUACUUUAUUGAUCCCGGGGGAAAUUGGUUAAUUCCCCAGACUAUGGAGAUUGAAAUUGAGAGGGCGCAUCGUUCGCUCGUCCUGAGAUCUCCCGGAGACAGAGAAAGUAAACCGCGUUCAAUAGUACUGAGUUUCCUUCGAUUUAAGAGCAAGGUGGAGAUUCUACGAAGGGGCCUGGGGUAAGAAGAGGGUUUUUGGAACAGGAAGUUAAUAUAUUUCGAUCAUGAUUACCCUCCGGCCGUCCUACAGAAAUGGAAGGAAUAUUCCGAAGCGAAAUUAAUAUUAAAGCAAGAAAAGAUUAAAUUCUAAACCCCGUAUCCUGCUAAACUGAGAGUAUCUUACGCAGGUGGGAUACAGCAAUAUCAGACGGUGGAAGAGGCGACUACAGACAUGAACAACAGAGGACUGCCCAUUAGCAUGGUCAAACCAAGGGAAAGUCUGGUUGAGCAGUUAUCCCGAUCUGCGUGGGAAAUAAUAAGAGAACCGAGAAAGCAUCGGACGGGAGGGGGACGAGAGAAGGAUAUUAGGAAGAGACUGUGAGUUCUCCGAGGGCAGCCCUCACCUCCUCCAGAAGAGCCAUAAGGUUUGACUAACUUUAAAAGGGCUGAUAAACUAAACGGAAGCAAAAACAGACGGUGAUAUACCAAUCUCAAGAAAUACAUAUCAUAAUGUGGAUUUUAUAUUACUCAAUUUUUUUUUAUUCGUUCACUCACUCCUUUUUCCCCACCUAAAUGAGAAUAUAUACAUGGGAGGAAUACACAGGGAAAUCAUUUCUGUGUAAUGGACAUAGAUUUUUUU